CAAGUUUUCACAAAACAAAAGAAGAAUCCCUGAGUUUUAAACAAUCUAUCUGCCCUGUCACAAUUGCUCACGUUAAGUCCCUGGUGAUGUCAUUAUCCCUCUAGUCUCUAGUCUGCUGAUGAAUCUAUCUACUCAUCUUUUAGAGGGUUGUGAGUCCAUUUGUUCAAAGGCUCCUCCUAAAUGGGCUGCUGACAAGUGCAGGGACUGCUCCGGUGAUCAAAGUCCUGCCGACUUUUUCCACGGGUGAGCUGGCCCAGCUGUGAGUGUGGUGCGGCCACCAACUCCGAUGCCAUCUUCCCAAUGUCAUGAGAUCUGCUGCAGAAAGCACACCAUGGAAGAUUUGCUAUGGGACCAGAUGGCCUGCCUCCAGUCCCUCACCUGAGGCUUUGAUGAGGAGCGCUGGGAGUAGGCUGCUGACUGCGAGGAGCACUGGGCUGACCAGGAGCAGAGGAAAGGCCAUGUCAUGCCAGCAAGAGGCAAUGUGCUCCUACCUCAUGUCUGCCAUGGAGCGCAUGGCCAUGUGUAUGCAAUGGGCCACUAGCCACCUCCCUUCCCCCCCUACUCCCAAACUCCCUGCCCAACUUCCCUGUCCCACUCCGCGCACCUGCCCCUGCUCCCACCCCCAUGGCUUCUCCUAGCCCCCCAGGUGCCACCGAGGCCCUUGAACACAUGGCGGUGGGAUCUUCUGGGCAGCCAAAGCCUCCCAAGGUACCCAAGACAGGUAUCAAUCCCAGCCCCAACCCUGAGCCACCCUCCCCCAUUCCUGGUUCUUUUUCCAGUCCCUCCCCUGUUGUAUACUCCCCCUCCCCAAUAAAAAAUGAGAAUUGUUUGUUCAAAGUCUGCGUUACUUCAUCUGGAGAGGCGGUGGGAAAGGAGGGCCAGGGAAAGGAGGAGUGGGCAAGGAAAGACACACAGGGGCAAUGCAGAGGCCCCUUGUGGAGAGGCCUGGGGGAGAGUCUCACAGGUGGCCUUGGGCUGAAGCUCUUCCUCAAGGCCUCCUGGAUGAACACAGCUACCUGAUGUGCUCUCCGUAUGCCAGUGGUGUCCGGCUGCUGGAAGCCCUGGUCAGCUGAUUAGCCUCUGCCCCCUACCCUGGCAGGAAAGUCUCCUCCUUGCUCUCACAUAUGUUGUAAAGCAUGCAACAUGCCGCCACCAUGUAAGGGAUGUUUUGACUGGCGAGAUCCAGGUGGGUGAGGAGACUUCUGAGCCUCUCCUUCAAGCGGCAAAGGCAUACUCAACCACCAUGCAGCACCUGCUGAGCCUGGCAUUGAAGUGCUCCUUGGCUGAGUCCAGGCUGCCUGUGUAGGGCUUCAUCAGCCAGGGGAGCAAGGGUAGGCUGGGUCACUGAGGAUUACGAUGGGCAUGUCCAUGUCCCCAACCCUGAGGGUGCGGUCAGGGAAAAAAGUACUGGAGUUCAUCUCUAGAACAGGCUAGAGUUCCAGAAUAUGGGGGCAUCGUGUACCUUCCCUGACCAGCUGACAUUAAUGUCCAUGGACUGGCUCUUGUUGUUCACCAGCGCCUGAAGUACAAUCGAAAAUAACCCUUCCUAUUUAUAUAGUCUGAGGCACGGUGGUUGGGGGCCAGGAUGGGGAUGUGGGUGCUGUCUAUGGCUCCCCACAGUUGGGGAAGCCCAUGGUGGCAAAGCCAGUGACAAUGGGGUAAACGUUCCCCAGGGUAACAAACCUCCACAGCAAUAUGGUGUUAAUGGCCUUGACUACCUGCAUGAGCACGGCCCCAACCAUGGAUUUCCCCAUACCAAACUAGUUCUGUACAGACAGCACGGUGAGCUUCCAGAGGGCAAUGGUGACACGCUUCUGCAGGGGGAUGGCAGGUCUCAUCUGGGUGUCCUGUCUCCUGAGGCAGGGGCGAACCACUCGUGGAGCUCCAGGAAGGUGGCCUUGCGCAUGUGGAAGUUCUGCAGC
Pelodiscus sinensis (Chinese soft-shelled turtle) is the source of this 1922-nucleotide long non-coding RNA. RefSeq lists it as uncharacterized. The record is from RefSeq and is a predicted model, not a curated record. NCBI's taxonomy places the organism in Eukaryota, Metazoa, Chordata, Testudines, Trionychidae.